GCCCGUUGGUCAAGCGGUUAAGACACCGCCCUUUCACGGCGGUAACACGGGUUCGAAUCCCGUACGGGUCAU
This 72-nucleotide transfer RNA is filed under the name Shouchella lehensis G1. RNAcentral's name for it is "Bacillus lehensis G1 tRNA-Glu". It matches the Rfam family "tRNA". From Rfam's summary of the family: Transfer RNA (tRNA) molecules are approximately 80 nucleotides in length. Their secondary structure includes four short double-helical elements and three loops (D, anti-codon, and T loops). Lineage: Bacteria; Bacillati; Bacillota; Bacilli; Caryophanales; Bacillaceae. The record is from RNAcentral.